Canis lupus familiaris (dog) is the source of this 2007-nucleotide long non-coding RNA. RefSeq lists it as uncharacterized. Lineage: Eukaryota; Metazoa; Chordata; Mammalia; Carnivora; Canidae. The transcript has 8 exons. The record is from RefSeq and is a predicted model, not a curated record.
UGAGCAGGUUCCUCUUCACACCAGCCUCCCUCAGGCUGGAACAUUUUGUUCCUUUAAUCCUUGAUAAACCAGCCUACGGCACGGCUCGCUUCACACUGUGCAGAUCGGGCGGCGGGGGGGGGUGCAGUGCCGGGAUCCGGCAGGCCCCCGUGAGGUUAGUGGGGCUGAGGGCCAGCCCCGGGCCCCCCCGGCGGGAGGCUGUCACCCUGGGGCGGGAGCCCACCCACGCCCCCGCGAUCCUGCAGCUCCUAGGUGCCCCCCCCAGAGCCCCACGAAGCCACAAACUGGAAGUUGGCCGGCUCCUCAAACCACAACUUGGAAGAGAAUCGUCCAGGAGAGCUGGUAAACAUGCUGGAGACACUGGGUACUCUGCAUCUAUUAUUUGGUCCCCACUGCCAUCACACUUGAUCGAUGACUGAAGCCCAGAGAAGUCCCACGCUGGGGAGCAGUGACCCCCCCUCCUCUCUUACUCUUCGAGCCCAUGGGGCUGCAGCCUCUAGCCUCUGAGUAAGACCACAUUCCCCCUUCAGACUUCCGGCCCUCUGACAUCUUCGUUACCAGACACUGCGUGAAGAAAUAUUCGAGUGGUUUCUGCUUUCCUGCCCAGACACUGAUUUCGAAAUUCCCGAAAAUUGAGAGUGACGCUGAGUCUCAAGCCAAGAAGGCCCAGGAAACGCUCAAAUUCUUUGUCUUUAAGAUUGAACAGAAAACAAGGGCAGUACUGGAUGGCACACUGAGGGGCCAUUCAGAGGCCAGGGCUCAGUUUUUGAGAACUAAGCUGAGGAGCCAGCGCUGUCUGAGAUCGCAUGCCUGCUGCACCUGAAGGACAGGGAACACCUGCUCUGUUGGUGGUGUGGCACGAGGGCACGGCCAUCUCCAUCCUGAAGGGCCAAAGACAUCCAGCAUGACUGAACUCGCCCAGGACAGAUGAAGGAAAUCUGUCUGGGAGAGCAGAAGAGUCUGAAGACCAGUUUUGAAAGAAAGCGCCCAACUCUGGACCUUCGGGACAGAGGAAUGCCUUGUCAACAGUGAUCACCAAGUGGGAUAAGGAAACUGAGGUCCAGAGAGGCUUGCCCAAGGUCAUGUAAGUAUUAAAUAACAGAGCUGUGAUUUCAGGUCUGGUGGCCUGGCUCCAGAGUUUACAUUUUAAACCAAAACACUAUCAUGCUUUUCAAAACUGAUUGAGUUCAUUCAAAAAGUAUUUAUUGAGCACUUAAGUGCUGGCCCCUGUUUCAGAUGCUGGAGAUGGGGCAGAGAAUGCAAAAGACACAGACAACUGCCCCCGUUGACCCCACAUCUCAGUGAGGGAGAUGGGGCUAUGGGGAAGCAGUGCCCUCAGGAGAGAACCAGGCUGGAGCCUGUCAAAUGGGAAAGUAUCAAAGAAGAGCCAUAGAAGCUGGGAGGGCAGAGGCUGGGGUCUAAUUAAGAGAGAUACAGCACUUUACAGGGAGAAAGUUCCAGGGGUAGGAAUCCAGAGGAUGGGGAAAAACUGGGAACUCAAAGCUUCUUAAGAGCACAGGAUAAAAAAUGAUAUCUAUAAUAAACAUUUCUUAAAUGUGGACAAGAGGGCAAAGGAUGUAAAUAGGUCACUCACAGGAAAACAAAUCCUAAUAGCAAAAACAUUAUACAUUUACAAGUAGUCAGGGAAUAAAUACAAAUUAAAGUUAAACUGAGCUAUUACUUUAAAACUACCAGACCAGCAAAAAUUUAAAAGAGCUAUCAUGCCUAUUGCUAACAGGGGUUGGAAAAAAAGAUACUCUAUUACAUAGCUAUCAGAAAUAAUAAAUGCUAUAGUGUGGUCUUAAAAAGCAAACAGGGGCAUCUGGGUGGCUCAGUCAAUUGAGUGUCCUACUCUUGAUUUCGGCUCAGGUCAUGAUCUUGGGGUUGUGAGUGGAGCCCUGCAUGUGGUUCCAUGCUUAGUAGGGGGUCUGCAGGAGAUUCUCUCUCCCUCUGCCCCUCCCACAUGAUCUCUCUCUCCCCCAACCCUUCUCAAAUCAAUCAAUCAAU